GAGCAUGAAGUUGUUGGGUUGUAUUGCGAUGAGGAUUUCAUUCUGCGGUGUCGGAGUGCCAAUGAGGCACGGGUGGUCGAACCCACGUAUGUGGCAAAAUACGGGGAUGACUUGUGGCUAGGGGUGAAAGGCCAACCAAGAUCGGAUAUAGCUGGUUUUCCACGAAAUCUAUUUCAGUAGAGCGUAUGAUGUCGAUGGCCCGAGGUAGAGCACUCAAUGGGCUAGGGUGGCCUCAUUUCGCCUUACCAACCCCAGGGAAACUCCAAAUACAGGCCUAGAUCAUUUGUACAUAAAUCGAUAUGCUGAAAUUGAAAUCAAAAAUAAAUAAGAAGAGGAGCCAAUUAGAUACAAAUAAUGAAUCGUAAUAGAAAUAGAAAAUAAAGUUCAGGUUCGAAUUC
Nicotiana attenuata is the source of this 398-nucleotide non-coding RNA. The record is from Rfam. NCBI's taxonomy places the organism in Eukaryota, Viridiplantae, Streptophyta, Magnoliopsida, Solanales, Solanaceae.